RNAcentral lists this long non-coding RNA (396 nucleotides) under Nicotiana benthamiana. RNAcentral describes it as "long non-coding RNA (NBEN_LNC027780)". Lineage: Eukaryota; Viridiplantae; Streptophyta; Magnoliopsida; Solanales; Solanaceae. The record is from RNAcentral.
ACCUUUUUCGGGGCAGUGAAUCAGGGUUGGGUCAAGGCGUGCUAUCUCCGACCUCUACUUCGCAACCUCGAAUGACCUUCAAACUCUGAAACAAGCACGGCGACGUCUCUGUUAUGGUUAGACAAAACCAAUAGAGGCUGAACGAAAACGAACCUUUAGAGUGUGGUUCUAACGAGUAAAAAAACGAGAGUAGAAUGGCGAGAAAACUUUUUGAGCAGGAUUUCAAAAUUAAUGAUUCAAAAUCGAGUUAGAGUCCGUUUGAAUCCGAGUGUGCUCACAUGAUUUGGUUCAGCUUCUUGUCCACAAUAUCGUGAUUUUGACCGAGACCUUAAGGAUUCAUGGGUCAUCAAGCACAAAUAUGAAAGAGGAAAGAAAGAGACAUUAUUUGCACCAAAU